RNAcentral lists this small nuclear RNA (105 nucleotides) under Choloepus hoffmanni (Hoffmann's two-fingered sloth). Lineage: Eukaryota; Metazoa; Chordata; Mammalia; Pilosa; Megalonychidae. The record is from RNAcentral.
GUGCCACUUCAGCAGCACAUAUACUAAAAUUGGAAGAUACAGAGAAGGUUAGCAUGGCACCUGCGCAAGGAUGACACACAAAUUCGUGAAGCGUUCCAUAUUUUU